RNAcentral lists this ribosomal RNA (470 nucleotides) under uncultured bacterium. RNAcentral describes it as "bacterial SSU rRNA". It matches the Rfam family "Bacterial small subunit ribosomal RNA", at positions 57 to 518 of the family's 1533-position model. The record is from RNAcentral.
GCAAGUCGAGGGGCAGCAUUGGAGUAGCAAUACUCAGAUGGCGACCGGGCGCACGGGUGAGUAACACGUAUCCAACCUGCCGCUUACUCGGGGAUAGCCUUUCGAAAGAAAGAUUAAUACCCGAUGGUAUAAAGAGUUCGCAUGUUCUCUUUAUUAAAGAAUUUCGGUAAGCGAUGGGGAUGCGUUCCAUUAGAUAGUUGGCGGGGUAACGGCCCACCAAGUCUACGAUGGAUAGGGGUUCUGAGAGGAAGGUCCCCCCACAUUGGAACUGAGACACGGUCCAAACUCCUACGGGAGGCAGCAGUGAGGAAUAUUGGUCAAUGGACGAGAGUCUGAACCAGCCAAGUAGCGUGAAGGAUGACUGCCCUAUGGGUUGUAAACUUCUUUUAUAAGGGAAUAAAGUGAGGGACGUGUCCCUUUUUGUAUGUACCUUAUGAAUAAGGAUCGGCUAACUCCGUGCCAGCAGCUGC